This is a long non-coding RNA of Raphanus sativus (radish), 1087 nucleotides long. RefSeq lists it as uncharacterized. The transcript is spliced from 4 exons. NCBI's taxonomy places the organism in Eukaryota, Viridiplantae, Streptophyta, Magnoliopsida, Brassicales, Brassicaceae. The record is from RefSeq and is a predicted model, not a curated record.
GAGGUCACAAGAAAGCGACAGUUCCAGCCCCUUCUCCGUUGACGGCGAUUCGAUGCCGAUUCGGCUUUCAUUCACCAUAAAAAACGCUCGGAGUAAAUGAUUCGUGAUUGCUCCACUCAAUCCGCUCUUCCACUAUGUGUAUUCAAAGCAUACUUCAAGGUCAGGGGCUGUGUGUUUAUGUAUAAAUAGAUUCCGGCAAGUGUUCUUCCACUGUUGAUGUUAGAUUUCUUCGUCUAAUGGUUCCACCGUUAGCUAUUGUGGCAAAGAAACGUAUCGUUGCAGUGCCGGCCGCCUUCUACAGCAGAAGACGAGAUUCCAAAUAUCAGUCACUUAAUUGAGUUGGUGGUGGAACAGAGGACAAUAUCCCUGAAGCUCUAAGUAGUAUGCCUAAGCCUAAGGUACAUCUCUUCAUUAAUAAGAUUCUGCAACUUAGUAGAAAGGUGCGAGAAAUCAUGUGUUUGCGGUUUGACUUGAUUGGUAUCGGAGACUGGAGAUGGAGAACGAUUGUUUUGCGUUCCUCGCAUUGUUUUUUUUUGGUGUGACUACAUUAAGGUGAUGACUACAAUUCGGUAUGGGAACGAGCUACUAUGGGCAGCUUCGUCGCCACAGAAACUGAAGAUCGGUGUUGUUCUCUCCGGAGGUGAAGCACCUGGUAGGCCCACGCCCACAGUCAUAUAUGGACCAUUCGUGUUGCAUGCAGGGUGAUGUUGUCCUAAGAUUAUCACCUGCAAGUUUUCAUGCUGCUGUAGCAAAGACAUGCAUUGAGCUGAAGAAGCAUCUCAUCACUGCUAGCUAUGUUGAUGAUGGCUAAGAAUGAUUGGGUUACGAUUCUUGGUGAAACGACAUCUCAGAACUUGGAUAAUUUAGAAGGUGUCCUUAUAACCGAUGAAAAUGAUCAACAAGGCUCAUAUCAGCAAUGAGAAAGUGAAGUCUUUCACCUCUUUCUGUGGUAGCAUUCCCUUUCAUUCUGCAGUAAAUAAUCUAUUAGCAGAUUGAAUGGCUUCAGUUUGAUGUAUUCAAAUCAAUACAAUAAUGUGAUCACGAACUCAUAUUGAUCUUCCUCUUUUGUAACAAGUUUUUAAUCUUU